RNAcentral lists this ribosomal RNA (277 nucleotides) under Klebsiella pneumoniae. RNAcentral's name for it is "partial 23S ribosomal RNA". It matches the Rfam family "Bacterial large subunit ribosomal RNA", at positions 1639 to 1898 of the family's 2925-position model. Lineage: Bacteria; Pseudomonadati; Pseudomonadota; Gammaproteobacteria; Enterobacterales; Enterobacteriaceae. The record is from RNAcentral.
AAAUCGUACCCCAAACCGACACAGGUGGUCAGGUAGAGAAUACCAAGGCGCUUGAGAGAACUCGGGUGAAGGAACUAGGCAAAAUGGUGCCGUAACUUCGGGAGAAGGCACGCUGGUGUGUAGGUGAAGUCCCUGCGGAUGGAGCUGAGACCAGUCGAAGAUACCAGCUGGCUGCAACUGUUUAUUAAAAACACAGCACUGUGCAAACACGAAAGUGGACGUAUACGGUGUGACGCCUGCCCGGUGCCGGAAGGUUAAUUGAUGGGGUUAUCCGUAA